AAGUCGUAACAAGGUUUCCGUAGGUGAACCUGCGGAAGGAUCAUUAAUGGGUUAGCGGCUUGCCGCAACUCCCACCCUUCAAACCAGUGGCUAGAAGUCGGCAUAGAGGCAAACCCCCUCUUUGAUUGGGGGCCCAGCCUGCCGGAAUCUCGCGACCCUGCUUGAAUAUUGCCGUCUGAGAAUAUGGGGAAUUAGAAAAAACUUUCAACAACGGAUCUCUUGGUUCUG
Molecule: unclassified non-coding RNA, 228 nt
Filed under: Venturiales sp.
Lineage: Eukaryota; Fungi; Ascomycota; Dothideomycetes; Venturiales
Description: partial contains small subunit ribosomal RNA, internal transcribed spacer 1, and 5.8S ribosomal RNA
Rfam family: Eukaryotic small subunit ribosomal RNA (bases 1-46)
Source: RNAcentral